This 647-nucleotide ribosomal RNA is filed under the name uncultured beta proteobacterium. RNAcentral's name for it is "bacterial SSU rRNA". It matches the Rfam family "Bacterial small subunit ribosomal RNA", at positions 46 to 689 of the family's 1533-position model. The record is from RNAcentral. Lineage: Bacteria; Pseudomonadati; Pseudomonadota; Betaproteobacteria.
GCUUACACAUGCAAGUCGAACGGCAGCACGGGAGCAAUCCUGGUGGCGAGUGGCGAACGGGUGAGUAAUACAUCGGAACGUGCCCUGUCGUGGGGGAUAACUAGUCGAAAGAUUAGCUAAUACCGCAUACGACCUGAGGGUGAAAGCGGGGGACCGCAAGGCCUCGCGCGACAGGAGCGGCCGAUGUCUGAUUAGCUAGUUGGUGGGGUAAAGGCCUACCAAGGCGACGAUCAGUAGCUGGUCUGAGAGGACGAUCAGCCACACUGGGACUGAGACACGGCCCAGACUCCUACGGGAGGCAGCAGUGGGGAAUUUUGGACAAUGGGGGCAACCCUGAUCCAGCAAUGCCGCGUGUGUGAAGAAGGCCUUCGGGUUGUAAAGCACUUUUGUCCGGAAAGAAAUGGCGCUGGUUAAUACCCGGAGUCGAUGACGGUACCGGAAGAAUAAGCACCGGCUAACUACGUGCCAGCAGCCGCGGUAAUACGUAGGGUGCGAGCGUUAAUCGGAAUUACUGGGCGUAAAGCGUGCGCAGGCGGUUUUGUAAGACAGGCGUGAAAUCCCCGAGCUCAACUUGGGAAUGGCGCUUGUGACUGCAAGGCUAGAGUAUGUCAGAGGGGGGUAGAAUUCCACGUGUAGCAGUGAAAUGC